This 253-nucleotide ribosomal RNA is filed under the name uncultured bacterium. RNAcentral describes it as "partial 16S ribosomal RNA". It matches the Rfam family "Bacterial small subunit ribosomal RNA", at positions 524 to 776 of the family's 1533-position model. The record is from RNAcentral.
GACGUGGGGGGCCAGCGUUGCUCGGAAUUACUGGGGGUAAAGGGUUCGUAGGCGGUGUGGCAAGUCGGGAGUGAAAUCUCUGGGCUUAACCCAGAGACUGCUUCCGAAACUGCUGUGCUUGAGUGUGGGAGAGGCGCGUGGAAUUGCAGGUGUAGCGGUGAAAUGCGUAGAUAUCUGCAGGAACACCCGUGGCGAAAGCGGCGCGCUGGACCACUACUGACGCUGAGGAACGAAAGCUAGGGGAGCAAACAGG